UGGGGAAUCUUCCGCAAUGGGCGCAAGCCUGACGGAGCAACGCCGCGUGAGUGAAGAAGGUCUUCGGAUCGUAAAGCUCUGUUGAUGGGGACGAACGUGCCUAAUGCGAAUAGUAUUAGGUAAUGACGGUACCCAUCGAGGAAGCCACGGCUAACUACGUGCCAGCAGCCGCGGUAAUACGUAGGUGGCGAGCGUUGUCCGGAAUCAUUGGGCGUAAAGGGAGCGCAGGCGGGCAUGUAAGUCUUUCUUAAAAGUGCGGGGCUCAACCCCGUUAUGGGAAAGAAACUAUGUGUCUUGAGUACAGGAGAGGAAAGCGGAAUUCCCAGUGUAGCGGUGAAAUGCGUAGAUAUUGGGAGGAACACCAGUGGCGAAGGCGGCUUUCUGGACUGCAACUGACGCUGAGGCUCGAAAGCCAGGGGAGCGAACGGG
This 429-nucleotide ribosomal RNA is filed under the name bacterium. Its description in RNAcentral is "partial 16S ribosomal RNA". It matches the Rfam family "Bacterial small subunit ribosomal RNA", at positions 355 to 776 of the family's 1533-position model. The record is from RNAcentral.